GUUUGAUCCUGGCUCAGGACGAACGCUGGCGGCGUGCCUAACACAUGCAAGUCGAACGGAGACAGUGGGAUAGUUUACUACUCCACUGUUUUUCUGGCGGACGGGUGAAUAACACGUGGGCGACCGAGCUGUCAGAGGGGAAUAACCGCAAAAAAACUUUGCUAAUACCCCAUACCGUCUUUUAAUCACCUUACAAAUGCAUGAACGGAUAACUCCGCUCUUUGAAGGGCCCGCGCCUGAUUACUUAGUGGGUGAGAUAAGAGCCCACCAUGGCGAAUAUCACUAGCCCAUCUGAAUAGAUGACCGGACACACUGGAACUGACACACCGUCCAACUCCCCGGAGGCACAGUGGGGAAUAUGCAAAUGGAGGGAACCCUGAUGCACCAACGCCGCGUGGAGGAAGAAAGUGUUCAGAUGUACACUCCUGUCUUUUGGGAAGAUAUGACGGUACCAAAAAGGAACCUCGGCUAACUACCUGCUACCGCGGUAAUACUGGUGCAGCGUUGUCCGGAAUACUGGCGAUGAUUAGCUGGGUAGGCGGUCUCAGUCUGGUGAAGCGCCACAUGGUUAUCUGGGCUUGCCAUGAACUGAUGGCUCAGUGUCGAAGGAAUGCGAAUUCCUAGUGUAGUGAAAGCGUAGAUAUUUCCAGGAGGAACACAGUGGCAAGGCGGUUUCUGGCGAUACUGACGCUGUAGGCCGACGUGGAGCAAACGGAUUAAUACCCUGGUAGUCACCUGUAACAUGGAUACUAGUGUUGUGAUGUAUCUGUAACCCUUCUGCGGAUAACACCAUUAAGUAUCCCCACCUGGGAGCGGUCGCCAGUUGUGAACUCAGUGAAUUGACGGGGCCACAAGCACUACAGUGUAAUUCAGCAAGGAAGACCCUGACCGAACUCACUCCCUGUAUCGUAAUGAUGUACAUCCUUCCGCACGGAGCCAGUGGGCAGGGUAACUGAUGUCGUCAGCUCGUGUCGUGAGUGGUUGGUUAGUCCGCACGAGCCAACAGACCCUUUUGUGUAUCAUUAAGAUGAGCUUAUCAUUAAGUACUGCCGGAGACAAUCUCGAGAAGUGGAGAUGACGUCAAUCAGUCUGACCCCUUAUGUUUUGGGCGACACACGUGCUCCAAUGGGUAAAACAACGGGACGCGAAAUAGCGAUAUUGAGCCAAUCCCUAAAAAAUGAUCUCAGUUCGGAUUGCAGGCUGCAACUCGCCUACAUGAAGUCGGAGUUGCUAGUAAUCGCGAAUCAGCAUGUCGCGGUGAAUACGUUCCCGGGCCUUGUACACACCGCCCGUCACACCACGGGAGUUGGAAGCACCCGAAGCCAGAACCUAACCGUAAGGAGACAGCUGUCGAAGGUGAAGCCAAUGACUGGGGUGAAGUCGUAACAAGGUAA
Molecule: ribosomal RNA, 1394 nt
Filed under: uncultured bacterium
Lineage: Bacteria
Description: bacterial SSU rRNA
Rfam family: Bacterial small subunit ribosomal RNA
Source: RNAcentral